GGGGAGGAGCCGGGUUCGGGGCUGCUACUCCCCUCCCCGUGCAAGCGUCCUAGCGCUUCGGGCUGCCAGUGCCCGGCGCGUAUUCACUUCCUUGCCAGAAAAGUUUGCCCAGGUCAAGUGCCCGCUUCCCCCCCGCCGUGGGAGGCGGGUUCCACCGGCCUGGGGACAAUUUUACCGGGCGGCCUCCUUUGCUCCGAGGAGAGUGACUCCAGCCGCCCCUUUGCCCCGCAGCGCCAGGCGCCUUACAGGGAAGGAGGUUCCCGGGUGCCUGAGCCAAGCCCUGGGCUGCACCCGCUGGGUGGGGGCAUCAGCCUUAGCUUUCCCGGCGCGCCCGGGGGCGGGCCCUUCUCGGGCCGAGGCUACUCCUGACUGCGCUCGCUUCUACAGCCGUUCAAAGUGCGGCUGCUUCCCGGCGCCCUGCCCUGCCCUGCCCUGCCCGCACCGGGCGAUGGAAGCGCUGCUCCUGCUGGUGCACCUCGUGGCUGCAGCUACCUUGGAAAUCAAGACAAGCCCUUCCCCAGUAUUCUGUCUGGUGGACACACAUAUUGAGUUGCAUUGUAAUUUUACAAUCUGGAAGAGUGUUAAAUUGGAGGAUGUGGCAGUGAAAUGGACCAUAAACAAUGAAUUUGGAGAGAAGACAGUAUACCAGUUUGAUGGAAAGCAUACAUUAUAUCACCGGAAUGGGGCCUUGGUGAAUCCUGAAUUACUAACCCAGGGCAGCGCAUCACUGAACCUGCAUAAUGUGACAUUAGAUGAUGAAGGGAUCUACACAUGCACUGUUUUAAUAACCCCACAAUAUGGAAGUGGGACAAUCCGGCUCCAAGUCAGAGCUCAGCCUACAGUGUUGCUGUCACCCCAAAACCCUGAAAUUACAGCAGGGGGAGAGAAAACCUUUUCCUGUGAUGUUCAUCAAUUUUACCCUCAAGAAAUUGACAUCUCGUGGCUGGUUAGGAAGUAUGGCAGUAAACACGAGAGGCCUUUAACGCAGGAUAUCUGCACAGGAGUCCCAUUGGCUCACGAUAAAAAGGGCAUGUUCACUGUGCUGAGCCGGGUGACCCGAGAGGUGUCUGAAGAGGAUGAUGGAUCCUUGUACAUCUGUGAAGUCCGACAUGAAUCCUUGGAAAAGCCGCUGAGAGGAAAUACAACCAUAUUUGUCACGACCCCAAGGCAGUAUCAUCGGGACAUGGGGUUCAUUGUUGGAGUGGCUGCUGCUUGUAUUGUAAUAACUGGAGUGUGUAGUAUAUUUUUGACAGUAUUCUAUCGGGAACAAUUUAUGAAAGUGCCGCCUCAGGUUUCCUUGAUUAACAAACCAGAUGUGAUUCCGAUUAAUCAGAAGCUGAAGCUGAUGUGCAACAUAAACGGGUUUAGACCAAAAGCGAUUAGUGUGAAAUGGUACCGGAGAACCCCCCAAAUGGCAUCAAGUGAAGCUCAUGGAGAAGCCUCUUUUCUUCUGGGUCCAAGAGAAGAUAUUACAGACAAGGCAAGGCAGCCUUUGGAAACCAAUGGCAAGUUCUUCAGUGUUCCAUCCUGUCUGACCUACACACCCACCAUCCGGGAUGAUGGGGCAGUGUUUGAAUGCAGCAUUGAGCACAGCGCACUGAAAAGCGUCAUAUGGAUGAGCACCACGCUGAGUGUCACCGCUCGGCCGGCAAGUCUCUACAUCACUAGCUGGCCUCAGGCUCCCACGGUAGGAGAGAAGCUCAUUCUGAGUUGUGUAGUAGAGAAAUUUUACCCGAAGAAUAUCACUUUGACUUGGUUUCGAAAUGGACAACUCGUUAACGAUGUGACACAGUUUGGACCUUUCCCUUGUGAAAUUGACUAUUUCAGUGUCUGGAGCCAGACAGAGUUUAUGCUGACCAAUGAGGAGGAAGGGGCAAUUUAUAUCUGUCAGAUAAAACACAGCAGCUUUGGAAAUAUAGAAGAACUCUUCUAUGAAGUUAACUUGCAAGGGACACCCCCUGAAGUUCUCUGGAUCACGACAGACCCUUCUGUUCCUGUGCUGGGAGAGGAGCUGAGGCUGAACUGCAGGAUCAAUAAUUUCUCCCCUAACGUGAUCACUGUGAACUGGUUCCGAGAUGGGCACCUCCUGCAAGCGGGAGUCUGCCAUUCAGUCUCCAUAAUGGGAGCCAAUGGUUUGCACUCCAUCUGGAGCGUUUUGAGAGUCAUGCCUGGAAGGGAAGAGAAAGGAGCAGUGUUUACGUGUCGGGUGACACAUGCUGCUUUAAGGGACUCUGUAGAAAGAUCAUACACUCUGCAGCUGCCUGAUUGACUUGGUGAAGGCAUAACGGACUGUCCAGGGUGGGAAAGAAAGAGCAGAAGAUACACUUCCAGCACAGUGAAAGUUCUCUGGAAAUGAAACUUACUAAACACUGAAGAGUUGAUUCUACAUCCCUCCCACUUCAUCUCCUGGCUUUCACAUUCUCCUUGUAAAGGGAUCCUAACUGUUCCUUCCCAACCUACAGUGUAAGGACUGUGUCUGGUUAUACGACACACUCGUGGCAGCUGCUCGCUGCCUUUCUGUAUGAGAAGCACCAGUUCAUCAGCUGGUUUGUAGAGCAGAGAGAAUUUUUUUGUUCUUUAGCUUCACUUUUGGUUAAAGGAUGAUCUAGCUUCCUGCAUUUGUUGGGUUGUACACAAUUGCUAAAUGUCAUGUGAGCAACACUAUAGAGUCAGUAUUAUUAAUAAAAUACUUUUUCUUAGUAUUAUUAACACCUAGGAUUUAUCUCCCAAGGGCAUUAACUAAGUACUAGGGCUAGGGUAGCUAGGGCAUAGUUAUUAACUUAUUUAACAGAGGGAGAAAUGGUGACACAAAGUAGUGAAAAUGAUUUACCCCAGGUUAUGUAGAGAGAUGUGGAAUUAUUUUCACAGCUACUAAGAGGUUCAUUGGCUUUCAUGUACAUUGAAAUGAUCCUACCUGACUUCUACAUAGAAAUGGGCAAGGCCACGAAGAAAAGAGAGGACCUAUCCUAUAUUUUACCACUGGGUGUCUCUCUUUACCUCAUCACUGGAGGUAGAAGUGAAAAAUGUAAAGACAGCUCUGCAGUCUGGCCUGAGGUGACCAGAGUGUGUUACCUAGCCCAGUGUGAAUGGAGAGAAAGCUUUGCCUUUCUUUUCUUAAUUCUUUUCACAAUCAAGUAUUUGCAGAUUCAUUUAUUGAACAGAAAAUUGACACUCCUCCUACACUUCUUACACAAUGGAUUGACUCCAGCUGCUUUGAGGAAUGAAUUCCCUUUCUCAGCCGUCCAACUUAGAUCUGCUGUAAAUGGAUGCCAUUCCAUUGAUUUCAGUGGCGAUGCACCUGCUUACACCAGGUUUGAAUUAAGUUCAGUGUGCAAUGACAUCAAACCAUGGGGAGAGGGGAUAUAAGGAAUUAGGGAAUGAUAAAACAAGGGGAGAGAGAGAAGUUAUUUUAGGAUAGCUUUGGGAUAGCUUCUUUUGGAGAGGGAUGUUGGUUAUCAACUGAAUUGUCUUAAUUUGUUACAUUCUUUUUUUUAUUGUUGUAACUCAGUGGCUCUCAAGCUUUCCAGACUUCCCUUUCAGGAAUCUGAUUUAUCUUGCAUACCCCCAAGUUUCACCUCACUUAAAAACUACUUGCUUACAAAUCAGACAUAAAAAUACAAAAGGCUCAUAGCAUACUAUUACUGAAAAAUUGCUGACUUUCUCCUUUUUACCGUAUAAUUAAAUAAAUCAAUUGGAAUAUUAAUAUUGAAAUAAUAUUAAUAUGGAAUUAUUAAUAUUAACAUGUUAACAUUUCAAUAUAUAGAGCAGUAUAAAUAAGUCAUUCAUUGUCCAUAUGAUAUUUUAGUUUGCACUGACUUCGCUAAUGGUUUUUAUGUAGCCUGUUAUAAAACUAGGCAAAUAUCUAGAUGAGUUGAUGUAACUCCUGGAAGACCUCUGCGUACCCCCAAGGGUACAUGAACCACUGUUGUAAGGGACUUCUAUCAUAAGCAGGGGGCAAAGAGCAGCAAGUUCCUAGGUGUAGAUUACUAGAAGUAAUACUGUUAAGGAUCACUUUGGCCAUUGAGUUGAUUGGGAGCAGAAUCCAGCCCUCUGUAAGGGGAAAUGAAUGAGGAAAGUGUGGUUGCUUGGCCAGCAAGGAAUACAAAGAUACAAAUAAAUGUGAAAUAUAAUAUAUAUGUGUAAAAACCAAUAAACAUGGCUGCUGGUACAAGUGUGUGAGCAAGAAUACACAUGUAUAAUCUGUGCUUGUGCUCAGUUACCAUGACUGCAUGUGAAAAGGACCAGAGUCUCACUGUGCUUUGCACGUUCAAUUACUGUGAUUCUGCAUGAAAACUGUGUGUACAAAUUAGGCACGUGCACUUUUGAAUGGGAAUUUUUGAAACUCUAGGCCUCAGUAGCUGCAGGAAUUUGGAAUCUGCCCGCUUUGCAAAAUGCAGAGCAUUACUAACCUCCUGCAAACACCGAAUGGGUGCUGAUAGGAAAAUAAGUCAAACAGUACAAUAAAAGCUCAUUGGUAAAACAAAGGUCAAUAUGUGAGGGUCACUAAUGAUAAAUACAGCCUCUCCCCAGUCAGAACACAAGCCCAGAGUCUCAGGCUAUCCCUUAGUGCCAUACCUACCAGCUCUCCCUUUUGCAUGAACAGUGAGUAGAUUUAAAUGUAGUGGAACUAGUGAUACAGCAAGUGUUGGGUUGGCAUCAACCAUCCUUCCUUCCAUGCUCAUUAGCAGAGAGAUAAAAAUCUAGUUACAACAGGAAAUAAUUAAUAUGGGAAAAAAUGAAGGAAAGAAGCAUAUGGGCCUUGGCUAAUGCUGGUGCAGGAAGUGUUGAUUAUAGGUGUUUACAGGGGUGCUGGAACAAUUUGUAUAGUGGGGGUGCUGAGAGGCAUUGAACCAAACUGAACCCUAUAUAUAAUGGAAACCACUUCAAGCCAGCACUCCCAGCAUCUCUAGUUCCAGUGCCUAUGGGCAUUUAUAUAAUUAAGAAGAUGCAAAGAGGUUGGGGUUUAAAUCUUAAUCACAUUCAAAAUACUGGAACUCUAAGUAAAUCAGCAUGUCACCACUAGCACAGUAAACCUCAGUAAGAGACAGGCACCUGUCCUAUGAAUACUGAGCAGUAUGUUUAUGAUACUGAACUGAUAGGGGCUGCAUUAAGGGAAUUGAAUAAAAUUAAACGGGCACUAAUGUGAAUCGAGUAAGGAAAUGCCUUCCCUUUGUUUCUCACUGUUAGAAACCUAAAA
Molecule: non-coding RNA, 5197 nt
Organism: Dermochelys coriacea (leatherback sea turtle)
Lineage: Eukaryota; Metazoa; Chordata; Testudines; Dermochelyidae
Source: the annotation of a RefSeq genome assembly